Dama dama (fallow deer) is the source of this 470-nucleotide long non-coding RNA. RefSeq lists it as uncharacterized. The record is from RefSeq and is a predicted model, not a curated record. The transcript has 3 exons. NCBI's taxonomy places the organism in Eukaryota, Metazoa, Chordata, Mammalia, Artiodactyla, Cervidae.
GCAGAGGGGCCAGGACCACCCGCAGCCCCGCGCCCGGUCAGACGUGGUGCUGGGUGUGGGGCCGCGUGGGAAGGCCCGUGUGGCCAGGACGGCUAAACCCGCUCCGGUGCCUGGAAUACAGUGACAGACAAGUCAGAUAUGGUGCCCUGCCCCAAAGGAAGAGAACUCCCACCCACCAAGAAAAAGGGACUCCACCUCCGCUUUCGUGAGACCAGUGUCCCAUGUCUGUCACUUUUGAACCCGUGCUGGAAUCACGGGAGGGUAGAGGCUCGCUGAGAAGCCUGUGCUGACAGCCUGGCCAUGUUUCCUUACUGACCACCCAGCCGCACUCACCGCACCGCGGUCCAUCUUCAGUGGCUCAGAGUCGCAGCCAGUUCUGAGGACAACCCGAAAGCUCACAUGGUGAAAGGAAAGUAUGGAUUGGUGUUGCUGGAUGAGGUUUUGUGGAUUUGCCUGGGUUGGAACUCUGU